UAGGCCGAGGGCACCUGGAUGACCGCAAAAGUCAGGAGGAUCGUGCUUUGCCGUGGUUCGGCUCCAGCAGUCACGGGCAGGGUGACCUCUCCUUCCACUGCGACAGCGUCUCCAGCGAAACCUAUUAGGAGAGUAGAGACUCUCUUGAGUCGGUCGACCGAUAGUCGCAUUCGUGAGAAGGUCGAGUAAAACAGAACGUUCGUUGAACUUCCAUUAUCUACAAAAAUUCUCUUUACAUCGUAAUUGGCUAUUGUUGCCGAGACAACAACAGCAUCAUCAUGGGGGAUUUGGAUGCCCCGAACAUCUU
This 307-nucleotide long non-coding RNA is filed under the name Elaeis guineensis (African oil palm). RNAcentral describes it as "long non-coding RNA (EGUI_LNC000977)". Lineage: Eukaryota; Viridiplantae; Streptophyta; Magnoliopsida; Arecales; Arecaceae. The record is from RNAcentral.